GACGAACCGUGCGACCGUUAUUCGGAAUCAUUGGGCUUAAAGGGCGCGUAGGCGGGUCGGCACGUCGGUCGCUGAAAUCCCCCGGCUUAACCGGGGACGUGGCACCGAUACGGCCGACCUGGAGGCGAGGAGGGGGACCUGGAACGUCCGGUGGAGCGGUGAAAUGCGUUGAGAUCGGACGGAACGCCGACGGCGAAAGCAAGGUCCUGGACUCGUCCUGACGCUGAGGCGCGAAAGCCAGGGGAGCGAACGGG
RNAcentral lists this ribosomal RNA (254 nucleotides) under uncultured bacterium. RNAcentral describes it as "partial 16S ribosomal RNA". It matches the Rfam family "Bacterial small subunit ribosomal RNA", at positions 524 to 776 of the family's 1533-position model. The record is from RNAcentral.